Molecule: long non-coding RNA, 950 nt
Organism: Glycine soja
Lineage: Eukaryota; Viridiplantae; Streptophyta; Magnoliopsida; Fabales; Fabaceae
Exons: 3
Source: RefSeq, a predicted model, not a curated record
GUAAUCUAUGCUUCUCUUUUGUUCUGUUUGUCCUGAUUUAUCUUGCAAUCAUGAAAUAAACUAUUGAUUUCUGUUUCUUACAUUUAGUCGUUAUUUUGUUGAUUUCUUCUGCGUCUUUUGCUACACACAGAUAUGUGACGUCCAAGUUAUUAAUGCCUAUAUUCCCUAUCGGGCAAUGAAUUACUUAGAACGCUUCAUUUCGAGGAAUACAUUAUCGGAUUUGGAAGGGCGAAGCACAUGUGAUAAAGUUUGAUUGGUUGUAGUUUGUUGUUUCACACUUUCCUCCAAGAUGAGAACAGAGAAUUUCAUGCUCAAUGAAUGUCUGGUAAACCUACGCAAGACACUUUGCACUGUGAAAUUAAAUCACAUCAUUUUUAAUGUUCUGAUUUGUUGCACAAAUGAUAGUGAGAGAUCGGUCCAAUAAUUUAAGCAGAGAUACUAUAGUGAGAAUGGAGUUUCGCAUUCUUUAUGGACUUGACUGGCAAAUGCUACCCGUGACUCCUUUUGACUUUGUAAACUUUUAUUAUUGUCUCUGUGUUUGUUUACAGACACAGAUGCAUCAAUGAAAUCGUACUCGAGUCUCAGGGAGGAGGGGGAGAUCUACUGUGUCAGACAUCUUGUAGAGCUCUGUCAUAAGAGGGACAUUAAGACAAUAAGUGAUAAUGGAAAGGAAGGAGCAGAAGCACCAGAGAGGAAGUUGAUGAGUUUUAAGCUGCAGUGGCCGCAAAUGAAAGUUCAUCCUGAAGAGUUACUUUGUAAAACAAACUGGUGUUAGUGCACCAUCGUGUAGUUAUAGCCUUGUAGCCUACAAAAGGUAGAUUAGACGCAACAUAUCUAUGUUUUUUUUUAUAGACCACAAACACGAGAGUUAGGUAGAAUUAUUAUGGGACAACAAACCUAAACACAGGCACACAACUAUUUGUAUAUGAUUAAACACUAGUUUAUUUUAA